Molecule: ribosomal RNA, 471 nt
Filed under: uncultured bacterium
Lineage: Bacteria
Description: bacterial SSU rRNA
Rfam family: Bacterial small subunit ribosomal RNA
Source: RNAcentral
ACUCCUACGGGAGGCAGCAGUGGGGAAUAUUGCACAAUGGGCGCAAGCCUGAUGCAGCCAUGCCGCGUGUGUGAAGAAGGCCUUCGGGUUGUAAAGCACUUUCAGUCGUGAGGAAGGUAGUGUAGUUAAUAGCUGCAUUAUUUGUACGUUAGCGACAGAAGAAGCACCGGCUAACUCCGUGCCAGCAGCCGCGGUAAUACGGAGGGUGCGAGCGUUAAUCGGAAUUACUGGGCGUAAAGCGCAUGCAGGUGGUUUGUUAAGUCAGAUGUGAAAGCCCGGGGCUCAACCUCGGAAUAGCAUUUGAAACUGGCAGACUAGAGUACUGUAGAGGGGGUAGAAUUUCAGGUGUAGCGGUGAAAUGCGUAGAGAUCUGAAGGAUACCGGUGGCGAAGGCGGCCCCUGGACAGAUACUGACACUCAGAUGCGAAAGCGUGGGAGCAAACAGGAUUAGAUACCCCUGGUAGCGACUGA